AGAGGUAACCUAUUUGAAGGCAAAAUAUGAAGCACUGCAACGCACUCAAAGGCCUUUUCUUGGAGAGGAUCUUGGACCAUUGAAUGUUAAAGAGCUGCAAAACCUUGAGAAACAACUCGAAGGAGCUCUUGCACUGGCUAGACAAAGGAAGACACAGAUCAUGAUAGAACAAAU
Molecule: long non-coding RNA, 174 nt
Organism: Hibiscus syriacus
Lineage: Eukaryota; Viridiplantae; Streptophyta; Magnoliopsida; Malvales; Malvaceae
Exons: 3
Source: RefSeq, a predicted model, not a curated record